CGGGGGGAGCAAGCGUUGUUCGGAUUUACUGGGCGUAAAGGGCGCGUAGGCGGCCACCGCAAGUCGACUGUGAAAUCUCCGGGCUUAACCCGGAAAGGUCAGCCGAUACUGCGGGGCUAGAGUGCAGAAGGGGCAACUGGAAUUCUCGGUGUAGCGGUGAAAUGCGUAGAUAUCGAGAGGAACACCUGCGGCGAAGGCGGGUUGCUGGGCUGACACUGACGCUGAUGCGCGAAAGCUAGGGGGAGCGAACGGGAUUAGAUACCCCGGUAGUCCUAGCCUUAAACGAUGAAUGCUUGGUGUCUGGGGUUUUAUAGUCCCCGGGUGCCGUCGCUAACGCUUUAAGCAUUCCGCCUGGGGAGUACGGUCGCAAGACUG
This 375-nucleotide ribosomal RNA is filed under the name uncultured organism. Its description in RNAcentral is "bacterial SSU rRNA". It matches the Rfam family "Bacterial small subunit ribosomal RNA", at positions 526 to 896 of the family's 1533-position model. The record is from RNAcentral.